GAGGAAGCUGCCUAAGAAUGAAGGGGAGAAAUAUAUCACAUCAUCUGUCUGUCCACAGCCUUCCUCUGGGCAUCUAAAAGGGGUAACGAGCGAAACACCAGCGUUCAGCGAGCAGCUUGAGCGGCGGUACGCUGAAGUAAGAGCACUGGCUUUUGGAAAAACCUGCAGACUACGGGGCGAGUAAAGAGAGAGAGACAGCCUACCGCUGUUUCGGUCGAGCAGAGAGCGGGAUCUCCGGCGGCUGAAGAGUGGUUCUUGAAUCGGCCAGAUACUGUUCCAUCCUCUUUUCUGCCAAUCAAGCAAAGAUGAGGACAACACCCAAACUGGCACGAUAACAGCGCCGUAUUCGAAGAGGACCCAAUUGUUCCAAAAGGCCUUGAUUUUGCUCCGCCGCGGUCCGCGCGGAGGCUGCCGCAGCUGUGGACAGCAACAGGUGUGUUAUCGGUGUUUGCUAAUUCGGGAUCCUUGGGACGUCCCAACUCUGACCUUACCCGAUCGACGGUUAAGAGAAAAGGUGAGAGGACCCUGCUGA
RNAcentral lists this long non-coding RNA (532 nucleotides) under Salmo trutta (river trout). RNAcentral's name for it is "lncRNA (ENSSTUG00000020119.1)". The record is from RNAcentral. Lineage: Eukaryota; Metazoa; Chordata; Actinopteri; Salmoniformes; Salmonidae.